This 380-nucleotide ribosomal RNA is filed under the name uncultured bacterium. RNAcentral's name for it is "bacterial SSU rRNA". It matches the Rfam family "Bacterial small subunit ribosomal RNA", at positions 30 to 416 of the family's 1533-position model. The record is from RNAcentral.
CCUGAACGCUGGCGGCGUGGUUAAGACAUGCAAGUCGCACGGGCGUAGCAAUACGUCAGUGGCGAACGGGUGAGUAAUGAAUCGCUAAUGUACCCCGGACUCCGGGAUAGCUGCCCGAAAGGGCAGGUAAUACCGGAUGACAUACCUUCCAGGCAUCUGGAGGGUCUCGAAAGGUCCGCCGGUCCGGGCGCAGGCGAUUUCGUAUCAGCUAGUUGGUGAGGUAACGGCUCACCAAGGCGACGACGCGUAGCCGGACUGAGAGGUUGGCCGGCCANAUCGGGACUGAGACACUGCCCGGACUCCGUACGGGGGCGUGCAGUAACGAAUCUUCCCAAUGCACGCAAGUGUGAGGGAGCGACGCCGCGUGUGGGACGAAGUCC